Molecule: ribosomal RNA, 1361 nt
Filed under: uncultured bacterium
Lineage: Bacteria
Description: bacterial SSU rRNA
Rfam family: Bacterial small subunit ribosomal RNA
Source: RNAcentral
GAGUUUGAUCCUGGCUCAGGACGAACGCUGGCGGCGUGCCUAACACAUGCAAGUCGAACGAGGUAUAUUUUUCGGAAUAUGCUUAGUGGCGGACGGGUGAGUAACGCGUGAACAAUCUGCCCUGUACAAAGGAAUAGCCUCGGGAAACCGGGAUUAAAACCAUAUAACACUUUAGUAUCGCAUGAUACAGAAGUCAAAUUGAAUAAGAGGUAUGGGAUGAGUUCGCGUCUGAUUAGCUAGUUGGUAAGGUAAGAGCUUACCAAGGCGACGAUCAGUAGCCGGCCUGAGAGGGUGAACGGCCACACUGGAACUGAGACACGGUCCAGACUCCUACGGGAGGCAGCAGUGGGGAAUAUUGCACAAUGGAGGAAACUCUGAUGCAGCGACGCCGCGUGAGUGAAGAAGGUCUUCGGAUCGUAAAACUCUGUCCUUGGUGAAGAUAAUGACGGUAGCCAAGGAGGAAGCCCCGGCUAACUACGUGCCAGCAGCCGCGGUAAUACGUAGGGGGCGAGCGUUGUCCGGAUUUACUGGGCGUAAAGGGUGGGUAGGCGGUUGUAUAUGUCAGGUGUAAAAGGCUAUGGCUUAACCAUGGUUAGCACUUGAAACUGUACAACUUGAGUGCAGGAGAGGUAAGUGGAAUUCCUAGUGUAGCGGUGAAAUGCGUAGAUAUUAGGAGGAACACCAGUGGCGAAGGCGACUUACUGGACUGUAACUGACGCUGAGUCACGAAAGCGUGGGUAGCAAACAGGAUUAGAUACCCUGGUAGUCCACGCUGUAAACGAUGAGUGCUAGGUGUUGGCCAGCGAUGGUCAGUGCCGCAGUAAACACAAUAAGCACUCCGCCUGGGGAGUACGGUCGCAAGACUGAAACUCAAAGGAAUUGACGGGGACCCGCACAAGCAGCGGAGCAUGUGGUUUAAUUCGAAGCAACGCGAAGAACCUUACCAAGGCUUGACAUCCCCUUGACAGGUGCAGAAAUGUGCCCUCUCCUUCGGGAGCAAGGGUGACAGGUGGUGCAUGGUUGUCGUCAGCUCGUGUCGUGAGAUGUUGGGUUAAGUCCCGCAACGAGCGCAACCCUUAUCCUUAGUUGCCAGCAAGUUAAGUUGGGCACUCUAAGGAGACUGCCGGUGAUAAACCGGAGGAAGGUGGGGAUGACGUCAAAUCAUCAUGCCCCUUAUGUCUUGGGCUACACACGUGCUACAAUGGUCGGUACAACGGGCAGCGAAAGAGCAAUCUGGAGCAAAUCCCAAUAAACCGAUCCCAGUUCGGAUUGUAGGCUGCAACUCGCCUACAUGAAGUCGGAGUUGCUAGUAAUCGCGAAUCAGAACGUCGCGGUGAAUGCGUUCCCGGGUCUGUACACAC